GUUAUAAUAGCCUAUUCGUGCCGCGCAUGCUCUGCUUUCUGUCUCACCGCGUAUCCUGCCUCGACACACGCCCUGCCAUUGUCAUUGCCAUUCUGUGCAGGUACCAUUACAAUGGAUACUGAAUUUCGGACUUGAACCUCCAAAACUGGGAAGAAAGCAUGUGUAGUUUGGGAGCAGAUCAUGGGUACAAAGGAACAGCAAGAUGAGGAAGCAGAGCUCCUAAGAAGGUCAUGAAAUGCAAGUGUUGAUAUCAGUUUCUCAGGGAACCUGGGCAGGAGGAGAUAAGCCAGUACAUCUGCUUGUUGUGCCUACAGUUAGAAAUAAUUAUAAGAGAACAUGAUGAUGCUUCGGGAACUUUCAGCUGUAACCAUUUCUUGUUUGUGGUGGUCUGGCCCCUUCUGAGCACAGUAUUGGGAGAUAAGCUUUCCUGGAACAUGGUCAGAAAAGCAAGCUCAACUGCUUCAAAUUCUCUGCCAGCAUUCCUGCGCCCAUCUUGCCUACAACCUGUGCGGUCCAACAACUAGGAGGACAGAUACAAACAAUGCAGCAGAGGAGGAAAGUUGUGUCCCAAGAUUCACAGAUGCUACUUUGUAUCCUAAGAGUGUGUAUUUGGUGGAAUGUCACAC
Molecule: long non-coding RNA, 626 nt
Organism: Ochotona princeps (American pika)
Lineage: Eukaryota; Metazoa; Chordata; Mammalia; Lagomorpha; Ochotonidae
Exons: 5
Source: RefSeq, a predicted model, not a curated record